CCCUAGAGGUAAUCAUAGAGAUGAUGAUAUUCCAUUUGUAUCCAUGAUUUAUAUUGUGUUCCUUGAAUAUCCAUUAAAGGCUACUUGAAUUGAUUUGCAAUUAUGUGAAUUGUGUGUGAAACUCUUUACUUGUAUGGUUAUUCUAAAGUUAUCCCUAGUCGGAGUUCAUGUGAGGACACACAUGAAUAUUAGACUAGCACAUGUAUUAGUUGAUGACUAUGUUUCACAAGUCAUGGACAUGGAGAU
This 246-nucleotide long non-coding RNA is filed under the name Setaria viridis. RNAcentral's name for it is "long non-coding RNA (SVIR_LNC000629)". The record is from RNAcentral. Lineage: Eukaryota; Viridiplantae; Streptophyta; Magnoliopsida; Poales; Poaceae.